Molecule: transfer RNA, 54 nt
Filed under: Blaesodactylus ambonihazo
Lineage: Eukaryota; Metazoa; Chordata; Lepidosauria; Squamata; Gekkonidae
Description: partial tRNA-His
Source: RNAcentral
GCCAACAUAGUUUUGAUCAAAACACUAAGUUGUGGGCCUAGUAACAAGGAAACA